GUUAUAUGGUCAAGUGAAGAAGCGCAUACGGUGGAUGCCUUGGCAGUCAGAGGCGAUGAAAGACGUGGUAGCCUGCGAAAAGCUUCGGGGAGUCGGCAAACAGACUUUGAUCCGGAGAUGUCUGAAUGGGGGAACCCACCUAACAUAAGUUAGGUAUCUUAAGCUGAAUACAUAGGCUUAAGAAGCGAACCAGGGGAACUGAAACAUCUAAGUACCCUGAGGAAAAGAAAUCAACCGAGAUUCCCUUAGUAGUGGCGAGCGAACGGGGACCAGCCCUUAAGCUGUAUUGAUGUUAGCGGAACGCUCUGGAAAGUGCGGCCAUAGUGGGUGAUAGCCCUGUACGCGAAAACAUCUUUGCAGUGAAAUCGAGUAGGACGGAGCACGAGAAACUUUGUCUGAAUAUGGGGGGACCAUCCUCCAAGGCUAAAUACUACUGACUGACCGAUAGUGAACUAGUACCGUGAGGGAAAGGCGAAAAGAACCCCGGAGAGGGGAGUGAAAUAGAUCCUGAAACCGUAUGCGUACAAGCAGUGGGAGCCUACUUUGUUAGGUGACUGCGUACCUUUUGUAUAAUGGGUCAGCGACUUAUUUUCAGUGGCAAGCUUAACCGAAUAGGGGAGGCGUAG
Molecule: ribosomal RNA, 626 nt
Filed under: Pseudomonas helleri
Lineage: Bacteria; Pseudomonadati; Pseudomonadota; Gammaproteobacteria; Pseudomonadales; Pseudomonadaceae
Description: partial 23S ribosomal RNA
Rfam family: Bacterial large subunit ribosomal RNA
Source: RNAcentral